UACGUAGGGUGCAAGCGUUAAUCGGAAUUACUGGGCGUAAAACGUGCGCAGGCGGUUUUGUAAGUCUGUUGUGAAAUCCCCGGGCUCAACCUGGGAAUGGCAAUGGAGACUGCAAGGCUAGAGUUUGGCAGAGGGGGGUAGAAUUCCACGUGUAGCAGUGAAAUGCGUAGAUAUGUGGAGGAACACCGAUGGCGAAGGCAGCCCCCUGGGUCAAAACUGACGCUCAUGCACGAAAGCGUGGGGAGCAAACAGG
This 253-nucleotide ribosomal RNA is filed under the name uncultured bacterium. Its description in RNAcentral is "partial 16S ribosomal RNA". It matches the Rfam family "Bacterial small subunit ribosomal RNA", at positions 524 to 776 of the family's 1533-position model. The record is from RNAcentral.